UUAAGUUAUUAAGGGCGCACGGUGGAUGCCUUGGCACUAGAAGCCGAUGAAGGACGUUACUAACGACGAUAUGCUUUGGGGAGCUGUAAGUAAGCUUUGAUCCAGAGAUUUCCGAAUGGGGAAACCCAGCAUGAGUUAUGUCAUGUUAUCGAUAUGUGAAUACAUAGCAUAUCAGAAGGCACACCCGGAGAACUGAAACAUCUUAGUACCCGGAGGAAGAGAAAGAAAAUUCGAUUCCCUUAGUAGCGGCGAGCGAAACGGGAAGAGCCCAAACCAACAAGCUUGCUUGUUGGGGUUGUAGGACACUCUAUACGGAGUUACAAAGGACGACAUUAGACGAAUCAUCUGGAAAGAUGAAUCAAAGAAGGUAAUAAUCCUGUAGUCGAAAAUGUUGUCUCUCUUGAGUGGAUCCUGAGUACGACGGAGCACGUGAAAUUCCGUCGGAAUCUGGGAGGACCAUCUCCUAAGGCUAAAUACUCUCUAGUGACCGAUAGUGAACCAGUACCGUGAGGGAAAGGUGAAAAGCACCCCGGAAGGGGAGUGAAAUAGAACCUGAAACCGUGUGCUUACAAGUAGUCAGAGCCCGUUAAUGGGUGAUGGCGUGCCUUUUGUAGAAUGAACCGGCGAGUUACGAUUUGAUGCAAGGUUAAGCAGUAAAUGUGGAGCCGUAGCGAAAGCGAGUCUGAAUAGGGCGUUUAGUAUUUGGUCGUAGACCCGAAACCAGGUGAUCUACCCUUGGUCAGGUUGAAGUUCAGGUAACACUGAAUGGAGGACCGAACCGACUUACGUUGAAAAGUGAGCGGAUGAACUGAGGGUAGCGGAGAAAUUCCAAUCGAACCUGGAGAUAGCUGGUUCUCUCCGAAAUAGCUUUAGGGCUAGCCUCAAGUGAUGAUUAUUGGAGGUAGAGCACUGUUUGGACGAGGGGCCCCUCUCGGGUUACCGAAUUCAGACAAACUCCGAAUGCCAAUUAAUUUAACUUGGGAGUCAGAACAUGGGUGAUAAGGUCCGUGUUCGAAAGGGAAACAGCCCAGACCACCAGCUAAGGUCCCAAAAUAUAUGUUAAGUGGAAAAGGAUGUGGCGUUGCCCAGACAACUAGGAUGUUGGCUUAGAAGCAGCCAUCAUUUAAAGAGUGCGUAAUAGCUCACUAGUCGAGUGACACUGCGCCGAAAAUGUACCGGGGCUAAACAUAUUACCGAAGCUGUGGAUUGUCCUUUGGACAAUGGUAGGAGAGCGUUCUAAGGGCGUUGAAGCAUGAUCGUAAGGACAUGUGGAGCGCUUAGAAGUGAGAAUGCCGGUGUGAGUAGCGAAAGACGGGUGAGAAUCCCGUCCACCGAUUGACUAAGGUUUCCAGAGGAAGGCUCGUCCGCUCUGGGUUAGUCGGGUCCUAAGCUGAGGCCGACAGGCGUAGGCGAUGGAUAACAGGUUGAUAUUCCUGNNNNNNNNNNNNNNNNNNNNNNNNACCACCUAUAAUCGUUUUAAUCGAUGGGGGGACGCAGUAGGAUAGGCGAAGCGUGCGAUUGGAUUGCACGUCUAAGCAGUAAGGCUGAGUAUUAGGCAAAUCCGGUACUCGUUAAGGCUGAGCUGUGAUGGGGAGAAGACAUUGUGUCUUCGAGUCGUUGAUUUCACACUGCCGAGAAAAGCCUCUAGAUAGAAAAUAGGUGCCCGUACCGCAAACCGACACAGGUAGUCAAGAUGAGAAUUCUAAGGUGAGCGAGCGAACUCUCGUUAAGGAACUCGGCAAAAUGACCCCGUAACUUCGGGAGAAGGGGUGCUCUUUAGGGUUAACGCCCAGAAGAGCCGCAGUGAAUAGGCCCAAGCGACUGUUUAUCAAAAACACAGGUCUCUGCUAAACCGUAAGGUGAUGUAUAGGGGCUGACGCCUGCCCGGUGCUGGAAGGUUAAGAGGAGUGGUUAGCUUCUGCGAAGCUACGAAUCGAAGCCCCAGUAAACGGCGGCCGUAACUAUAACGGUCCUAAGGUAGCGAAAUUCCUUGUCGGGUAAGUUCCGACCCGCACGAAAGGCGUAACGAUUUGGGCACUGUCUCAACGAGAGACUCGGUGAAAUCAUAGUACCUGUGAAGAUGCAGGUUACCCGCGACAGGACGGAAAGACCCCGUGGAGCUUUACUGUAGCCUGAUAUUGAAAUUCGGCACAGCUUGUACAGGAUAGGUAGGAGCCUUUGAAACGUGAGCGCUAGCUUACGUGGAGGCGCUGGUGGGAUACUACCCUAGCUGUGUUGGCUUUCUAACCCGCACUACUUAUCGUGGUGGGAGACAGUGUCAGGCGGGCAGUUUGACUGGGGCGGUCGCCUCCUAAAAGGUAACGGAGGCGCUCAAAGGUUCCCUCAGAAUGGUUGGAAAUCAUUCAUAGAGUGUAAAGGCAUAAGGGAGCUUGACUGCGAGACCUACAAGUCGAGCAGGGUCGAAAGACGGACUUAGUGAUCCGGUGGUUCCGCAUGGAAGGGCCAUCGCUCAACGGAUAAAAGCUACCCCGGGGAUAACAGGCUUAUCUCCCCCAAGAGUUCACAUCGACGGGGAGGUUUGGCACCUCGAUGUCGGCUCAUCGCAUCCUGGGGCUGUAGUCGGUCCCAAGGGUUGGGCUGUUCGCCCAUUAAAGCGGUACGCGAGCUGGGUUCAGAACGUCGUGAGACAGUUCGGUCCCUAUCCGUCGUGGGCGUAGGAAAUUUGAGAGGAGCUGUCCUUAGUACGAGAGGACCGGGAUGGACAUACCUCUGGUGUACCAGUUGUCGUGCCAACGGCAUAGCUGGGUAGCUAUGUGUGGACGGGAUAAGUGCUGAAAGCAUCUAAGCAUGAAGCCCCCCUCAAGAUGAGAUUUCCCAACUUCGGUUAUAAGAUCCCUCAAAGAUGAUGAGGUUAAUAGGUUCGAGGUGGAAGCAUGGUGACAUGUGGAGCUGACGAAUACUAAUCGAUCGAAGACUUAAUCAA
This 2944-nucleotide ribosomal RNA is filed under the name Staphylococcus aureus. Its description in RNAcentral is "23S ribosomal RNA". It matches the Rfam family "Bacterial large subunit ribosomal RNA". The record is from RNAcentral. Lineage: Bacteria; Bacillati; Bacillota; Bacilli; Caryophanales; Staphylococcaceae.